GCUGACAUAAGUAACGAUAAUGCGGGUGAAAAGCCCGCACGCCGGAAGACCAAGGGUUCCUGUCCAACGUUAAUCGGGGCAGGGUGAGUCGACCCCUAAGGCGAGGCCGAAAGGCGUAGUCGAUGGGAAACAGGUUAAUAUUCCUGUACUUGGUGUUACUGCGAAGGGGGGGACGGAGAAGGCUAUGUUAGCCGGGCGACGGUUGUCCCGGUUUAAGCAUGUAGGCGGAGGUUCCAGGUAAAUCCGGUACCUUUUUAACGCUGAGGUGUGAUGACGAGGCACUACGGUGCUGAAGUAACAAAUGCCCUGCUUCCAGGAAAAGCCUCUAAGCAUCAGGUAACAUUGAAUCGUACCCCAAACCGACACAGGUGGUCAGGUAGAGAAUACCAAGGCGCUUGAGAGAACUCGGGUGAAGGAACUAGGCAAAAUGGUGCCGUAACUUCGGGAGAAGGCACGCUGAUAUGUAGGUGAAGCCCCUGCGGGUGGAGCUGAAAUCAGUCGAAGAUACCAGCUGGCUGCAACUGUUUAUUAAAAACACAGCACUGUGCAAACACGAAAGUGGACGUAUACGGUGUGACGCCUGCCCGGUGCCGGAAGGUUAAUUGAUGGGGUUAUCCGUAAGGAGAAGCUCUUGAUCGAAGCCCCGGUAAACGGCGGCCGUAACUAUAACGGUCCUAAGGUAGCGAAAUUCCUUGUCGGGUAAGUUCCGACCUGCACGAAUGGCGUAAUGAUGGCCAGGCUGUCUCCACCCGAGACUCAGUGAAAUUGAACUCGCUGUGAAGAUGCAGUGUACCCGCGGCAAGACGGAAAGACCCCGUGAACCUUUACUAUAGCUUGACACUGAACAUUGAGCCUUGAUGUGUAGGAUAGGUGGGAGGCUUUGAAGCGUGGACGCCAGUCUGCGUGGAGCCAACCUUGAAAUACCACCCUUUAAUGUUUGAUGUUCUAACGUUGGCCCCUUAUCGGGGUUGCGGACAGUGUCUGGUGGGUAGUUUGACUGGGGCGGUCUCCUCCCAAAGAGUAACGGAGGAGCACGAAGGUUAGCUAAUCCUGGUCGGACAUCAGGAGGUUAGUGCAAUGGCAUAAGCUAGCUUGACUGCGAGCGUGACGGCGCGAGCAGGUGCGAAAGCAGGUCAUAGUGAUCCGGUGGUUCUGAAUGGAAGGGCCAUCGCUCAACGGAUAAAAGGUACUCCGGGGAUAACAGGCUGAUACCGCCCAAGAGUUCAUAUCGACGGCGGUGUUUGGCACCUCGAUGUCGGCUCAUCACAUCCUGGGGCUGAAGUAGGUCCCAAGGGUAUGGCUGUUCGCCAUUUAAAGUGGUACGCGAGCUGGGUUUAGAACGUCGUGAGACAGUUCGGUCCCUAUCUGCCGUGGGCGCUGGAGAAUUGAGGGGGGCUGCUCCUAGUACGAGAGGACCGGAGUGGACGCAUCACUGGUGUUCGGGUUGUCAUGCCAAUGGCAUUGCCCGGUAGCUAAAUGCGGAAGAGAUAAGUGCUGAAAGCAUCUAAGCACGAAACUUGCCCCGAGAUGAGUUCUCCCUGAGACUUUAAGUCUCCUGAAGGAACGUUAAAGACGAUGACGUUGAUAGGUCGGGUGUGUAAGCGUAGCGAUACGUUGAGCUAACCGAUACUAAUGAACCGUGAGGCUUAACCUU
RNAcentral lists this ribosomal RNA (1654 nucleotides) under Klebsiella aerogenes MGH 77. RNAcentral's name for it is "bacterial LSU rRNA". It matches the Rfam family "Bacterial large subunit ribosomal RNA", at positions 1296 to 2925 of the family's 2925-position model. Lineage: Bacteria; Pseudomonadati; Pseudomonadota; Gammaproteobacteria; Enterobacterales; Enterobacteriaceae. The record is from RNAcentral.